AACGUAGGAGACAAACGUUAUCCGGAGUUACUGGGCGUAAAGGGCGCGUAGGCGGCCACCGCAAGUCAAUUGUGAAAUCUCCGGGCUUAACUCGGAAAGGUCAACUGAUACUGCGGGGCUAGAGUGCGGAAGGGGCAACUGGAAUUCUCGGUGUAGCGGUGAAAUGCGUAGAUAUCGAGAGGAACACCUGCGGCGAAGGCGGGUUGCUGGGCCGACACUGACGCUGAUGCGCGAAAGCCAGGGGAGCGAACGGG
This 254-nucleotide ribosomal RNA is filed under the name uncultured bacterium. Its description in RNAcentral is "partial 16S ribosomal RNA". It matches the Rfam family "Bacterial small subunit ribosomal RNA", at positions 524 to 776 of the family's 1533-position model. The record is from RNAcentral.